GGAAUUGACGGGACCCCGCACAAGCAGCGGAGCGUGUGGUUUAAUUCGAGGCUACACGAAGAACCUUACCAGGGUUUGACAUGCAAGUGGUAGGAAUCCGAAAGGUGACCGACCCUUCGGGGAGCUUGCACAGGUGCUGCAUGGCUGUCGUCAGCUCGUGUCGUGAGAUGUUCGGUUAAGUCCGCUAACGAGCGCAACCCUCGUCGUGUGUUAUACGUGUCACACGAUACUGCCGGUAUCAAGCCGGAGGAAGGUGGGGAUGAUGUCAAGUCAGCAUGGCCUUUAUAUCCUGGGCUACACACACGCUACAAUGGCAGAUACAAUAGGUUGCGAAACCGCGAGGUGGAGCCAAUCCUCAAAGUCUGUCUCAGUUCAGAUUGUAGGCUGCAACUCGCCUGCAUGAAGUUGGAGUUGCUAGUAAACGCAGGUCAGCUAUACUGCGUUGAAUACGUUCCCGGGGUUU
This 463-nucleotide ribosomal RNA is filed under the name uncultured Leptolinea sp. RNAcentral's name for it is "bacterial SSU rRNA". It matches the Rfam family "Bacterial small subunit ribosomal RNA", at positions 906 to 1382 of the family's 1533-position model. The record is from RNAcentral. Lineage: Bacteria; Bacillati; Chloroflexota; Anaerolineae; Anaerolineales; Anaerolineaceae.